GGCGGAAUAGCUCAGUUGGUUAGAGCAAUUGGUUCAUAUUCAAUGGGUCGGGGGUUCAAGUCCCUCUUCCGCUA
Molecule: transfer RNA, 74 nt
Filed under: Candidatus Hepatoplasma crinochetorum Av
Lineage: Bacteria; Bacillati; Mycoplasmatota; Mollicutes; Mycoplasmatales; Hepatoplasmataceae (SeqCode)
Rfam family: tRNA
About the family: Transfer RNA (tRNA) molecules are approximately 80 nucleotides in length. Their secondary structure includes four short double-helical elements and three loops (D, anti-codon, and T loops). Further hydrogen bonds mediate the characteristic L-shaped molecular structure. tRNAs have two regions of fundamental functional importance: the anti-codon, which is responsible for specific mRNA codon recognition, and the 3' end, to which the tRNAs corresponding amino acid is attached (by aminoacyl-tRNA synthetases). tRNAs cope with the degeneracy of the genetic code in two manners: having more than one tRNA (with a specific anti-codon) for a particular amino acid; and 'wobble' base-pairing, i.e. permitting non-standard base-pairing at the 3rd anti-codon position.
Source: Rfam by way of RNAcentral